GGUAAACGCUGGCGGCGUGCCUAAAACAUGCAAGUCGAACGGGCAGUUCCUUCGGGAGCUGUCAGUGGCGGACGGCUGAGUAACGCGUGGGUGACAGGCCCUGGAGUGGGGCAUAACUGCCCGAAAGGGUGGCUAAUUCCGCAUACGCUCGGGUUUUCGUUGAUCCGAGGAAAGCAGUGAUGUGCUCCAGGAGUGGCCCGCGUCCGAUUAGCUAGCUGGUGGGGUAACGGCCCACCAGGGCGACGAUCGGUAGCUGGUCUCAGAGGAUGAUCAGCCAGACUGGGACUGAGACACGGCCCAGACUCCUACGGGAGGCAGCAGUUAGGAAUUUUGGGCAAUGGGCGCAAGCCUGACCCAGCAACGCCGCGUGGGUGACGAAGGCCU
Molecule: ribosomal RNA, 384 nt
Filed under: uncultured bacterium
Lineage: Bacteria
Description: bacterial SSU rRNA
Rfam family: Bacterial small subunit ribosomal RNA
Source: RNAcentral